This 102-nucleotide ribosomal RNA is filed under the name Loigolactobacillus coryniformis subsp. coryniformis CECT 5711. Lineage: Bacteria; Bacillati; Bacillota; Bacilli; Lactobacillales; Lactobacillaceae. The record is from RNAcentral.
GGUGGCGAUAGCAAGAAGGAUACACCUGUUCCCAUGUCGAACACAGAAGUUAAGCUUCUUAGCGCCGAGAGUAGUUGGGGGAGCACCCCCUGCGAGGGUAGG